GUGCCAUUAGCUCAGUUGGUAGAGCACAUGACUUUUAAUCAUGGUGUCCAGGGUUCGAUUCCCUGAUGGCGCACCA
RNAcentral lists this transfer RNA (76 nucleotides) under Clostridium tetani. RNAcentral describes it as "tRNA-Lys". It matches the Rfam family "tRNA". Rfam says of the family: Transfer RNA (tRNA) molecules are approximately 80 nucleotides in length. The record is from RNAcentral. Lineage: Bacteria; Bacillati; Bacillota; Clostridia; Eubacteriales; Clostridiaceae.